AACUUUCAACAACGGAUCUCUUGGUUCCCACAUCGAUGAAGAACGCAGCGAAAUGCGAUAAGUAAUGUGAAUUGCAGAAUUCAGUGAAUCAUCGAAUCUUUGAACGCACAUUGCGCCCCCUGGUAUUCCGGGGGGCAUGCCUGUUCGAGCGUCAUA
RNAcentral lists this ribosomal RNA (156 nucleotides) under Morchella esculenta. RNAcentral describes it as "5.8S ribosomal RNA". It matches the Rfam family "5.8S ribosomal RNA". From Rfam's summary of the family: 5.8S ribosomal RNA (5.8S rRNA) is a component of the large subunit of the eukaryotic ribosome. It is transcribed by RNA polymerase I as part of the 45S precursor that also contains 18S and 28S rRNA. Lineage: Eukaryota; Fungi; Ascomycota; Pezizomycetes; Pezizales; Morchellaceae. RNAcentral also lists the same sequence under 31 other names. The record is from RNAcentral.